CCGUGGCGCACCCUAGAGAUAGGGCGUUUCCUUCGGGAACGCAAUGACAGGUGGUGCAUGGUCGUCGUCAGCUCGUGUCGUGAGAUGUUGGGUUAAGUCCCGCAACGAGCGCAACCCUUGUUACUAGUUGCCAGCAUUAAGUUGGGCACUCUAGUGAGACUGCCGGUGACAAACCGGAGGAAGGUGGGGACGACGUCAGAUCAUCAUGCCCCUUAUGACCUGGGCUACACACGUGCUACAAUGGACGGUACAACGAGUCGCGAACUCGCGAGGGCAAGCAAAUCUCUUAAAACCGUUCUCAGUUCGGACUGCAGGCUGCAACUCGCCUGCACGAAGUCGGAAUCGCUAGUAAUCGCGGAUCAGCAUGCCGCGGUGAAUACGUUCCCGGGUUGGA
RNAcentral lists this ribosomal RNA (394 nucleotides) under Limosilactobacillus fermentum. Its description in RNAcentral is "bacterial SSU rRNA". It matches the Rfam family "Bacterial small subunit ribosomal RNA", at positions 987 to 1378 of the family's 1533-position model. The record is from RNAcentral. Lineage: Bacteria; Bacillati; Bacillota; Bacilli; Lactobacillales; Lactobacillaceae.